GGUGGUUCUCAGGUGACGCACCCCAGAAUCAGGCUCCCUCCUCUCUGGUUCCGGGUGCAUCACCCGAGAACCGCA
Myotis lucifugus (little brown bat) is the source of this 75-nucleotide non-coding RNA. The record is from Rfam. Lineage: Eukaryota; Metazoa; Chordata; Mammalia; Chiroptera; Vespertilionidae.